GAGUGACGGGUUGCUGCUUCCUUUUCUAUUCCUUCUGUUUCUCUUUUUUGUAGGCUUUUGGGGGCGUGGUCUCCUGAACUGAGGUGCUGGUCAGAUGCGUGCGACAGAGGAGAGAAGAGCUGGAGAGUUGGGUUCUUCCUAGUAGUCAAGUGCACUCGGAUUUUACUCUUUUCAAGAUCUUGAGUUUUGCUUUGUUUGCUGUCAAAGAUCUUGGGGUUGGGGUCACCUUGCGUGACUCUGGUGGUGGUUCAGUAACACAGGGUGUGGUAGCUUGCUGGAUUGGGUGUGGGCUAUUCGUGACUGUUGGCUGGCUGGUAAAGAGGGGAUGCAAGAUUGUGCCGGAAUGCCCUUCAAUAGAUAACAUAAGUUAAGAGUAAAUCCAAAUCGAUUACCGUAGGGACAUAAGUGAUCUAAUCGAAAUUAUAGGGACACUAAUGGUAAAAGUGAUUUAAAAUUAAAAAAAAAGACCAAAAUUGACUUUUUAUCAUGUAUUUACCGAAAAUUCUGCGGUGUCUCAGUUAUACUGGUACAGCUGGCUAUCUAACGGCUGAGUUUCCGUGUUAAAAAAGGAUAGCUGAGAUUCAAUGACUUAGUAACUUGUUGAGGCAUUUGUUAUUCAAAACGUGAGUGGCAUGUGAGGAAAGAGAAAGGCAGGUUCGGAGGAUGAAGAAGAUGCGCAGAGAAAGGCAGGUUUGGAGGAUGAAGAAGACGCGCGCUCGCCUCUCUGAUUGCCCAAAUCGAAAUCCUAAGAGCCCAUUUAAUCCUUAGCGCCUCCAGGAACUCUUCUCUUUGCUUGCCCAAAUUCAAUCCUUAGUGCCUCCACGAACUCUUCUCUCUGCUUGCCCACUGUCUCUGCUUGGCGACGAACUCUUGUCUCUGCUUCGCCAGAAACUCUUCCUCUCACUUGCCCAAAUCCAUCCUAAGCACGUCCAACUCUUGUCUGUGCUUGGGCAAAUCGCAUAUGCAAGAAGGUAAUGCUCACCGAAUUGAGGUCCUCAACUUUUCUCUCUGCUUGCCAAAACUCAUAUGCAGAUACCGAAUUGAUGGUGGGUCCAACCUCCAUGAUGAAAUGGUCACCAAAUUGGAGGUAUUUAAUUAAUUUAGUUUGUUCUGUUGGCAUUGUCUGAUAUAGAAUUUCAAUUUCGCAGGGGAAUGGAUUUGUAAUAACAAUGUGGUUGUAAAGAUUUCGAAGAUCCUUGGCUGUUAACGACGACAUUUGAGUUGGUGGCAAAAGGAAGUGUAAGGAGGAGGCUUUGAAAGUAUGGAAACAUCAAGUAAGAUUUCAAAGAACCCUCUUUCUGGUUUAGGACUUGAAUGUAUUUUGGGUAAUGAGUUGAUGCAAUUGCAUGUUUUUGGUUGCGAAACAGUUAUACGUGGUGCAAUUAUUGACCUGAGUAUGUGCAAUUGCAUGAGAUUAUUCAUUUGUGUUUUUUUUAAGAGAAUGUAUGUUAGCACAUAGAGUAUAAUGUAAUUUCAGUUUGAAAUUAUGUUUCUCAAGCAUGGAGGGGUCUGGUAAGAUGGACAGGGGUGUAGAGACAUCAAAGGAUGGUUGUAGUGAUUCAGGGUAUCUGGGUGGUUGUGAAAGGUUGAGUCACAGGGCACCGGCAACAGAGAGUGGGCAUAUGUCGGUUGAACAUAUGGUUAGUCAAAGUAGUGAUGAUAAUGAUGUUGACAUGAUUGCACCGAGGAAAGAAGAUGUUAUGGGGAAAGAGUUUAAAACGAUAGAAUUAGCAGAAGAAUAUUAUAUGAGUUAUGCAAAGGGCAUUGGAUUUAGCGUGAGAAAAGACAAAUUGGUUCGAAAUUUGGAAGGGAAAGUAUGUAGGAGACGGUGGUGUUGUUCUAAAGAAGGUUUGAGAAAUGAAGUUUAAUGAUCGAUCAGAUAGGAUUCGACCACCAAAGCCAAUUACAAGAGAGAAUUGUUUUGCCCAUUUUUGGGUGGGUUAUGAGAAGAAACGUGAUGUUUACAUCGUUACGAAUUUUAAACCACAUCACAAUUAUCAACUAGUUACUCCACUUGAAUCGCCAUAUCUUCAAUGUAACCGUGUCGUUCGAAAUUCCAAUUUAGCACAAGCAGUGGGAAUGCGAAGAGCAUUCCGAUUUAGCACAAGAGGUGUUACAUUUGGGUUAUGCUAGAGCUUAAUCAAAUAUAAAACAACAUUAUAAGCCAAACCCCCUAAAAAUCAAAAUUGAAACAAAAAUUGAACUAACCUAUUUCUAUGCUAGAGAAAUAGCUUAGAUUAGAACUCAAAAUUAUAAAAACAAAGUGAAAGGAAUGAGAAGAGACAAGAGAGGCACCUGGUGGCAAUGGGAGUGACGGGUUGCUGCUUCCUUUUCUAUUCCUUAUGUUUCUCCUUUGUGUAGGCUUUUGGGGGCGUGGUCUCCUGAACUAAGGUGCUGGCCAGAUGCGUACGACAGAGGAGAGAAGAGCUAGAGAGUUGGGUUCUUCCUAUUAGUCAAGUGCACUCGGAUUUUACUCUUUUCAAGAUCUUGAGUUUUGCUUUGUUUGCUGUCAAAGAUCUUGGGGUUGGGGUCACCUUGGGUGACUGUGGUGGUGGUUCAGUAACACAAGGGGUGGUAGCUUGCUGGAUUGGGUGUGGGCUGUUCGUGAUUGUUGGCUGGCUGGUAAAGAG
Molecule: long non-coding RNA, 2630 nt
Filed under: Prunus persica (peach)
Lineage: Eukaryota; Viridiplantae; Streptophyta; Magnoliopsida; Rosales; Rosaceae
Description: long non-coding RNA (PPER_LNC006872)
Source: RNAcentral